AGUGAACGCUGGCGGUAGGCCUAACACAUGCAAGUCGAACGGCAGCACAGUAAGAGCUUGCUCUUACGGGUGGCGAGUGGCGGACGGGUGAGGAAUACAUCGGAAUCUACUUUUUCGUGGGGGAUAACGUAGGGAAACUUACGCUAAUACCGCAUACGACCUACGGGUGAAAGCAGGGGAUCUUCGGACCUUGCGCGAUUGAAUGAGCCGAUGUCGGAUUAGCCAGUUGGCGGGGUAAAGGCCCACCAAGGCGACGCUCCGUAGCUGGUCUGAGAGGAUGAUCAGCGACACUGGAACUGAGACACGGUCCAGACUCCUACGGGAGGCAGCAGUGGGGAAUAUUGGACAAUGGGCGCAAGCCUGAUCCAGCCAUACCGCGUGGGUGAAGAAGGCCUUCGGGUUGUAAAGCCCUUUUGUUGGGAAAGAAAAGCAGCAGGUUAAUACCCCGCUGUUCUGACGGUACCCAAAGAAUAAGCACCGGCUAACUUCGUG
RNAcentral lists this ribosomal RNA (492 nucleotides) under uncultured bacterium. RNAcentral's name for it is "partial 16S ribosomal RNA". It matches the Rfam family "Bacterial small subunit ribosomal RNA", at positions 29 to 507 of the family's 1533-position model. The record is from RNAcentral.